UGUGAGUGGAAGACAACGAGAGAGAGAUGUAAGUGAGAAGAGAGUUAUCUCAUUAUUAUUUCUUCUUGUGUUACAGCACAAGCUAUAUAUAUACGAGUCAUAAACCGACUCAAGACAACACCUAUGAUACAUAUGUAAGAUAAGUGUUGAUUCGACAAGGAUGACUUAGCUAUCAAGACAAAGACAUGUGUCUUUUGAUGACUAAUCACUAUUUCUAACACUCCCCCUUG
Molecule: long non-coding RNA, 230 nt
Filed under: Brassica napus (rape)
Lineage: Eukaryota; Viridiplantae; Streptophyta; Magnoliopsida; Brassicales; Brassicaceae
Description: long non-coding RNA (BNAP_LNC014614)
Source: RNAcentral